GGAGGUGUCUGGGCACCUGGUGGUCCCCCCGGUCUUCAAAACCGGUGAGGCCGAGCAUCUCGGCCUGGCGGGUUCGAUUCCCGUCCACCUCCG
Molecule: transfer RNA, 93 nt
Filed under: Humibacillus xanthopallidus
Lineage: Bacteria; Bacillati; Actinomycetota; Actinomycetes; Micrococcales; Intrasporangiaceae
Description: tRNA-OTHER
Rfam family: Selenocysteine transfer RNA
Source: RNAcentral